Canis lupus familiaris (dog) is the source of this 766-nucleotide long non-coding RNA. RefSeq lists it as uncharacterized. The transcript is spliced from 4 exons. The record is from RefSeq and is a predicted model, not a curated record. Lineage: Eukaryota; Metazoa; Chordata; Mammalia; Carnivora; Canidae.
AGAAACACAGAGCAUCUGCUCAUUCUAGCUGCUGCCCAACACUGACUCUGAGGUUUCGAAACCCUGUCACGAUGGUGACGGAGUCAGAUGCUUUGGAAAGGUGUAUUUCACCUAUCCAGGUGACAUCUCUGUGAAACCUAGAAAACAGAAGCAAUAAAUCUUUUACUCAUGACUGAUUCUCUCAGAUUCACACAAAUAUGUUCCAGCGACUGAAGGCCGGUUCUUCUCUCUGAAAUGCCAGAAGCACCCAGUCCCAGUGCUAGUUACUUGUACGAGUGCCAGCGUUCACACUCUGUGGGGGAAAUAGAGUCUGUAUUUCCAGUAAUACCUAUCAUGAUGUUAAGAAGAAAAUUAAAACAAUAUGGGGUGCUCACACCUGGAUGAAAGAAACCUACAGACCUAUGCAAGUCACCUGGGACUCUUGGCUACAUGUGCAGUGAUCACUCUAAUUAUAAUUUCAAAUAUUAUCUUCACUAUCUGGCAGAGUUCAAUCUUACCUGUUUGUUCAUCCAUCCUUUGUUUUGCCCCACGAAAGAUUCACAGCAGCUUACAAAGAGAAACAAAAGCUAAAAAUGGAAGACAAAGGAAAAAUGAAAAGUUGAGCUGGGCUGGUGACAUCACAUGGAAGAGCAGUUCUGCAGACGCUGCAGCUGGCGGUCACCUAGAAAGCGCCACCUGGACCACGCACCCAUAUAAAGUCUCAAAGCAGCAUAUGGCCCCUAGUAAGUGCUCAAUAAAUGCCAGUGGUUAGUGUUCCUACUACUAU